CAGCAGCCGCGGGAAUACGAAGGGUGCAAGCGUUAAUCGGAAUUACUGGGCGUAAAGCGUGCGUAGGCGGUGAGUUAAGUCUGCUGUGAAACCCCCGGGCUCAACCUGGGAAUGGCAGUGGAUACUGGCUCGCUAGAGUGUGUCAGAGGAUGGUGGAAUUCCCGGUGUAGCGGUGAAAUGCGUAGAGAUCGGGAGGAACAUCAGUGGCGAAGGCGGCCAUCUGGGACAACACUGACGCUGAGGCACGAAAGCGUGGGGAGCAAACAGGAUUAGAUACCCCGGUAGUCCCUGUCUCUUAUAC
RNAcentral lists this ribosomal RNA (301 nucleotides) under uncultured bacterium. Its description in RNAcentral is "partial 16S ribosomal RNA". It matches the Rfam family "Bacterial small subunit ribosomal RNA", at positions 509 to 807 of the family's 1533-position model. The record is from RNAcentral.